RNAcentral lists this long non-coding RNA (269 nucleotides) under Carica papaya (papaya). RNAcentral's name for it is "long non-coding RNA (CPAP_LNC000512)". Lineage: Eukaryota; Viridiplantae; Streptophyta; Magnoliopsida; Brassicales; Caricaceae. The record is from RNAcentral.
UUGAUGUAAUUAUGUUAUGUUCUCCCAUGCAUGAACUAUGGUUCCUUUAUUUAUGGUUUGUAUUAUGGUAAACCCGGUACUGUAUUGCCUUAUUUGGUGUCAAUUACUGGUUUACAUGUUUUGUAUGAUUGGAUGAUUAUGUUAUAAAGUGUAUAUGAUUUCAUGAUAUUGUAAGGUUAUUAUUUUCAGAUGUUGUUUUCAUGGAUCUCGCUAAGGUAAGUGGACAGUAAAGGAUUUUAUUAUUGAUAAAAGAACUUGUUAUAAAUUAU